GGCCCCCCUUAAACACCCCUAAGCCACCCGCUCCUUCCCGGAAACCCUGCCGGGGGCCUCGUCCUCCUACAGGGGAACCUCUGCCAGCUCGGCUCCCACGUCGCUCCGGCCCACCAGGUCCUUCAGGGCAUGCCCCUUGCAGUACCCGUCGAAGAAUCAAUCUAGCUUCUCCUCGGCGGCAGGGUUGUAAUCCUUGAACGCGGCCAAGUCGAAGCCAGGCAAGUUGAGGCCCUUCACCUGGUCCAGAGCUCGCGUGAAGCCGACCUGGAGGAUGGGCUGGUUGAGGAGGGCCACGUCCUC
RNAcentral lists this long non-coding RNA (300 nucleotides) under Coffea arabica (coffee). RNAcentral's name for it is "long non-coding RNA (CARA_LNC004394)". The record is from RNAcentral. Lineage: Eukaryota; Viridiplantae; Streptophyta; Magnoliopsida; Gentianales; Rubiaceae.